GUCUAAGGCCAUGCCACCCUGAAAAAGCCCAAUCCCAUCUGAUCUCGGAAGCUAAGCAGGGUCAGGCUUGGUUAGUGCUUGAAUGGGAGACCGCCGAGGAAAACCAGGUGCUGUAGUUG
RNAcentral lists this ribosomal RNA (119 nucleotides) under Pteropus alecto (black flying fox). Lineage: Eukaryota; Metazoa; Chordata; Mammalia; Chiroptera; Pteropodidae. The record is from RNAcentral.